Non-coding RNA from Podarcis lilfordi (Lilford's wall lizard), 316 nucleotides. NCBI's taxonomy places the organism in Eukaryota, Metazoa, Chordata, Lepidosauria, Squamata, Lacertidae. The record is from the annotation of a GenBank genome assembly.
GGGCGAUCUGGCUGCGACAUCUGUCACCCCAUUGAUCGCCAGGGUUGAUUCGGCUGAUUUCGCUGGCUACGCUGGUGUCCCCACUCUCCAUGUAUGUCUCUCCUGAAGCUGCGCACUCAGUGGAAGAGGACACCCAUCCCAGACAGAAGGAGUGUACCAUUCUUCGGUCAACGGUAUACGAUAGCUGCGUUCCCCUGCUAGAACCUCCAAACAAGCUCAAGGUCCGCAUUAACCCUCCUUUAACCUAAGAAGAGAGGGACGCGGGUGGCGCUGUGGGUUAAACCACAGAGCCUAGGACUUGCCGAUUGGAAGUUCG